This 236-nucleotide unclassified non-coding RNA is filed under the name Glomerales sp. RNAcentral describes it as "partial contains 5.8S ribosomal RNA and internal transcribed spacer 2". The stretch from base 1 to 71 matches the Rfam family "5.8S ribosomal RNA", at positions 84 to 154 of the family's 154-position model. The record is from RNAcentral. Lineage: Eukaryota; Fungi; Glomeromycota; Glomeromycetes; Glomerales; Glomeraceae.
GUGAAUCAUCGAAUCUUUGAACGCAAAUUGCGCUUCCUAGCAUCCCAGGAAGUAUGCCUGUUUGAGGGUCAGUAUUAACAAAAAAAUCGGUUUGGUUGCAAAUUGUGACGUUUCCGGAGAUUGGGCUAUCUUAACUUUUUUGGUUAAGGGGCUUAAAAUUGACCUUUUUUGCGCUUUUUUAGACUUACAUAAAUUUUUUUUUGUCGUCAUUUUUUUAAGCCCAAAUCUUAUUAAUU